RNAcentral lists this long non-coding RNA (392 nucleotides) under Ananas comosus (pineapple). Its description in RNAcentral is "long non-coding RNA (ACOM_LNC007544)". Lineage: Eukaryota; Viridiplantae; Streptophyta; Magnoliopsida; Poales; Bromeliaceae. The record is from RNAcentral.
CUGCUGCGAUAUCAACGCAAGUCAAAGGCUCACUCCGGAGCGACACUCGUGGGCGCGACCCAACUAAGUAUGCAAGCGUGUCUCUGCCGAGCUCAAACAGCCUCACACAGGCUAUAGUCAAUGCAAAUGGGUUAAACUGGUCUAACAAAUAAAGCUCACGUACCCUUGGCACAACCUGAUACAAAAUACAAAAAUCUGGGUCCACCGUCGGUCCCGACGGCAUCCGACAGUCUAAUACAGUCUAACUCUACUGUAAAAACAUACUCGGCCCCUCAGCACGAGCGUAAUCUUAACCUGCACUAGUCUGGAUAUCCACCUCACACUAACAGCAGUGAUACAAAAGAACAACAGCUCCUAAAGCUAAAUUCGGUUACUUUUCGAAAAGUAACAGU